CCCCUUUUUGGGUAAGUCCUUGAUCUUCAUAGGAAAAGAAAGGUGAGAGAGGAAUCUUAGCUCCCACCUAGCUGCACUUCGAGCGGGCCUGGAUUUGAUGUCUGGGCCGACGGGCUGCCCGAAACGGGCCCUAAAUUGGGCCUGGAGAAAAGGCCCGAAAUGCACUCCACAAUUUAUAUUUUCCUUUCCUUGUUUUCUUUCUUUAAGGACUUUGAUCCAUGUAACCUAUUCCAUUAGUUGUUCAUUUUGUUGCC
Long non-coding RNA from Salvia hispanica, 254 nucleotides. RefSeq lists it as uncharacterized. The record is from RefSeq and is a predicted model, not a curated record. Lineage: Eukaryota; Viridiplantae; Streptophyta; Magnoliopsida; Lamiales; Lamiaceae.